CGCAGCGGGAAGCAGUGGCCAAUAGCUGAGUCAAUAAGGUAGCUCUGCUUCUAUUUAUUGUACUGUUGAGGGGCAGCCUGUGCUCUCUUGACGCAGUUUGCCUUCCACACGCAAAUUUUAAAUUUGUCGUCAAAAAUAAAUUCUGCAAGAUGUCGAAAGAUAUUCCCCGUGAGCCAGAGCAGCUCCGCAAGCUGUUCAUCGGCGGCUUGAGCUUCGAGACCACAGACGAGAGUUUGCGGGACCAUUUCCAAAACUGGGGGAGUCUUACAGAUUGUGUGGUGAUGAGAGACCCCGGCAGCAAGAGGUCCAGGGGUUUUGGCUUUGUCACCUACUCAUCUGUCCAGGAGGUUGAUGCUGCCAUGGGUGCCCGACCCCACAAGGUUGACGGAAGAGUGGUUGAACCCAAGCGGGCAGUUUCCAGAGAGGAUUCCAAUCGACCGGGUGCUCAUGUAACCGUGAAGAAAAUAUUUGUUGGAGGAAUUAAAGAGGACACAGAGGAAUCGCACCUGCGUGAUUACUUCCAGGAGUUUGGAAAAAUUGAGGUUAUUGAAAUAAUGAAUGAUCGCAACACUGGCAAGAAGAGGGGGUUUGCUUUUGUGACCUUUGAUGACCACGACUCAGUCGACAGGAUUGUCAUCCAGAAAUAUCACACAAUUAACUCACACAACUGUGAAGUAAGGAAGGCUCUUCCAAGGCAGGAUAUGCAGUCAGGAAUGGGAAUGAGAGGAGGAUUUUCAGGUGGUCGGAGCGGUGGCGGAAGGCCCUAUGACUAUGACAGAGGUUUCAACCAGGGUGGCAGGGGCAGAUACGGAGACAGCCAUUACAACUGCAAUGGAGGCGAUGGUGGUUAUGGAGGCGGUAUUGGCGGAUAUAACAAUGGAGGCAGCCGUGGCUAUAACCAGGGCUACAGCCAGGGUGGGGGCGGAGGUGGCGGCUAUGGUGGAAAUGGCUACGACAGCAACGGUUAUGGCAACUGCGGCGGAGGUGGCGGCGGCGGCGGAAACUACAACAACAUGGGCCACUACGACUCCCAGUCCUCUAACUUCGGCCCAAUGAAGAACAACUUUGGUGGUGGUGGCGGCGGCGGUGGCGGCAGGAGCUAUGGCGGCUACGGAGGAAGCUCAAACAGCGGAUAUGGACGUCAAGGGCGGUUUUGAAGCGACAAGGAAGUGCAGUGAAGUGUACUCUCAGUGGGGGGGACCAACUUCUUCUGACAACAAAUAAUCAGAAUCCUCAGAAGGAUGAAUUGGUGCUGAAGAUAUUCAUCCAGGUCAGACGAGAGCUGUCCUAUCUCGUCAAAAUUAUACGCUCAUGACGUUUGUUUUUUGUGUGAACUUUUUAAUAAAAUUUUAUUUUUUUAAUGAAACUUGCAAUGUUGUUUUUGUAUAAAAAAUACAAUACAAAAUCUCCAGAUUUAGGACUUAAGGACUUUGGUCUAUUUCAAAGGUCGGCACAAAAAAAAUAAAAAAAAAAGGUCGGCACAAAAAAAAUCCAAAACUAAAAGUCGGCACAAAAAAAAAAUCAAA
This is a non-coding RNA of Doryrhamphus excisus (bluestripe pipefish), 1526 nucleotides long. The record is from RefSeq and is a predicted model, not a curated record. NCBI's taxonomy places the organism in Eukaryota, Metazoa, Chordata, Actinopteri, Syngnathiformes, Syngnathidae.